RNAcentral lists this ribosomal RNA (253 nucleotides) under uncultured bacterium. RNAcentral describes it as "partial 16S ribosomal RNA". It matches the Rfam family "Bacterial small subunit ribosomal RNA", at positions 524 to 776 of the family's 1533-position model. The record is from RNAcentral.
UACGGGGGGGGCAAGCGUUGUUCGGAAUUACUGGGCGUAAAGGGCUCGUAGGCGGCCAACUAAGUCAGACGUGAAAUCCCUCGGCUUAACCGGGGAACUGCGUCUGAUACUGGAUGGCUUGAGUUUGGGAGAGGGAUGCGGAAUUCCAGGUGUAGCGGUGAAAUGCGCAGAUAUCAGGAAGAACACCCGUGGCGAAGGCGGCUCUCUGGAACGCAACUGACGCUGAGACGCGAAAGCGUGGGGAGCAAACAGG